CGUGUGCUUACAAGUAGUCAGAGCCCGUUAAUGGGUGAUGGCGUGCCUUUUGUAGAAUGAACCGGCGAGUUACGAUUUGAUGCAAGGUUAAGCAGUAAAUGUGGAGCCGUAGCGAAAGCGAGUCUGAAUAGGGCGUUUAGUAUUUGGUCGUAGACCCGAAACCAGGUGAUCUACCCUUGGUCAGGUUGAAGUUCAGGUAACACUGAAUGGAGGACCGAACCGACUUACGUUGAAAAGUGAGCGGAUGAACUGAGGGUAGCGGAGAAAUUCCAAUCGAACCUGGAGAUAGCUGGUUCUCUCCGAAAUAGCUUUAGGGCUAGCCUCAAGUGAUGAUUAUUGGAGGUAGAGCACUGUUUGGACGAGGGGCCCCUCUCGGGUUACCGAAUUCAGACAAACUCCGAAUGCCAAUUAAUUUAACUUGGGAGUCAGAACAUGGGUGAUAAGGUCCGUGUUCGAAAGGGAAACAGCCCAGACCACCAGCUAAGGUCCCAAAAUAUAUGUUAAGUGGAAAAGGAUGUGGCGUUGCCCAGACAACUAGGAUGUUGGCUUAGAAGCAGCCAUCAUUUAAAGAGUGCGUAAUAGCUCACUAGUCGAGUGACACUGCGCCGAAAAUGUACCGGGGCUAAACAUAUUACCGAAGCUGUGGAUUGUCCUUUGGACAAUGGUAGGAGAGCGUUCUAAGGGCGUUGAAGCAUGAUCGUAAGGACAUGUGGAGCGCUUAGAAGUGAGAAUGCCGGUGUGAGUAGCGAAAGACGGGUGAGAAUCCCGUCCACCGAUUGACUAAGGUUUCCAGAGGAAGGCUCGUCCGCUCUGGGUUAGUCG
Molecule: ribosomal RNA, 822 nt
Filed under: Staphylococcus aureus
Lineage: Bacteria; Bacillati; Bacillota; Bacilli; Caryophanales; Staphylococcaceae
Description: partial 23S ribosomal RNA
Rfam family: Bacterial large subunit ribosomal RNA
Source: RNAcentral